GAUGAUCGCUGGCGGCGUGCCUAAUACAUGCAAGUCGAGCGAACAGACGAGGAGCUUGCUCCUCUGACGUUAGCGGCGGACGGGUGAGUAACACGUGGAUAACCUACCUAUAAGACUGGGAUAACUUCGGGAAACCGGAGCUAAUACCGGAUAAUAUAUUGAACCGCAUGGUUCAAUAGUGAAAGACGGUUUUGCUGUCACUUAUAGAUGGAUCCGCGCCGCAUUAGCUAGUUGGUAAGGUAACGGCUUACCAAGGCAACGAUGCGUAGCCGACCUGAGAGGGUGAUCGGCCACACUGGAACUGAGACACGGUCCAGACUCCUACGGGAGGCAGCAGUAGGGAAUCUUCCACAAUGGGCGAAAGCCUGACGGAGCAACGCCGCGUGAGUGAUGAAGGUCUUCGGAUCGUAAAACUCUGUUAUUAGGGAAGAACAAAUGUGUAAGUAACUAUGCACGUCUUGACGGUACCUAAUCAGAAAGCCACGGCUAACUACGUG
This 497-nucleotide ribosomal RNA is filed under the name uncultured bacterium. RNAcentral describes it as "partial 16S ribosomal RNA". It matches the Rfam family "Bacterial small subunit ribosomal RNA", at positions 28 to 507 of the family's 1533-position model. The record is from RNAcentral.